RNAcentral lists this ribosomal RNA (253 nucleotides) under uncultured bacterium. RNAcentral's name for it is "partial 16S ribosomal RNA". It matches the Rfam family "Bacterial small subunit ribosomal RNA", at positions 524 to 776 of the family's 1533-position model. The record is from RNAcentral.
GACGAACCGUGCUAACGUUGUUCGGAAUCACUGGGCUUAAAGGGCGCGUAGGCGGGCCAGCAAGUCAGGGGUGAAAUCCCACGGCUCAACCGUGGAAGAGCCUUUGAUACUGCGGGCCUCGAGGGAGGUAGGGGCGUGCGGAACUUCCGGUGGAGCGGUGAAAUGCGUAGAUAUCGGAAGGAACAUCGGUGGCGAAAGCGGCGCGCUGGACCUCUUCUGACGCUGAGGCGCGAAAGCCAGGGGAGCAAACGGG